RNAcentral lists this small nucleolar RNA (155 nucleotides) under Neogobius melanostomus (round goby). RNAcentral's name for it is "Small Cajal body specific RNA 1 (ENSNMLG00000013241.1)". It matches the Rfam family "Small Cajal body specific RNA 1". Rfam says of the family: scaRNAs are a specific class of small nuclear RNAs which localise to the Cajal bodies and guide the modification of RNA polymerase II transcribed spliceosomal RNAs U1, U2, U4, U5 and U12. ACA35 belong to the H/ACA box class of guide RNAs as it has the predicted hairpin-hinge-hairpin-tail structure, conserved H/ACA-box motifs and is found associated with GAR1. The record is from Rfam by way of RNAcentral. Lineage: Eukaryota; Metazoa; Chordata; Actinopteri; Gobiiformes; Gobiidae.
AAGCACCAGAUACUAGCCUGACAGUCCAAUUUCCUUCGCAUUUGGAGAUUUGUAUGGCUGCUUGGGUGCAAACGGUGCAAGAGCAUGACUUGCCAUGAGAUUUAAGCUUUUCAGUGAAAGGCGACACUGUGAGGUUAUUACUCAGAGGCACAGAU